This 234-nucleotide unclassified non-coding RNA is filed under the name plant metagenome. Its description in RNAcentral is "partial contains small subunit ribosomal RNA, internal transcribed spacer 1, and 5.8S ribosomal RNA". The record is from RNAcentral.
UUUCCGUAGGUGAACCUGCGGAAGGAUCAUUAAAGUUAUAGUCCCCCGGCCCUCUGGGCUGGGGUCUUCUAUACCACCCUUUGUUUAUUACACCUUUGUUGCUUUGGCAGGCCUGCCCUCGGGCUGCUGGCUCCGGCCGGCUCGCGUCUGCCAGAGGACCUAAACUCUGUUUGUAUAUGAAGUCUGAGUACUAUAUAAUAGUUAAGACUUUCAACAACGGAUCUCUUGGUUCUG